GCAACCCAAAGGCCAUCCGAGCAGUGAGACCUCAUCAGAAGAGAUGCCGUGGCUGGUGGUGUCACCAACUGCCUGCUCACCUGAAGCAGGAAGGGAAGGAGACUGGGGUGGGCUGAGAGGUGAUGGUUGUGUUCUGCGGUCAUGAAGAGGAAGAGGGGAGUCACAGACUUGAGCUGUACACCCACUGGAGCCGAUGUAGCUAUGCUCUCAUGGCACAGGCGGCCAAUACUUGGUUGACUCUGAUGACUGACGACUUGGGGGAUGGCGGCCGAAGGUCUUUGCACCCUGAGUCUUGAGUGAUUCCGAAUUUGGGGUGUGUCGACGUUUUCUUCUUCACUUAUGUUCAUGUUUCUUUUCUCACCAGCCAUG
Molecule: long non-coding RNA, 369 nt
Filed under: Fukomys damarensis (Damara mole-rat)
Lineage: Eukaryota; Metazoa; Chordata; Mammalia; Rodentia; Bathyergidae
Description: lncRNA (ENSFDAG00000032088.1)
Source: RNAcentral